RNAcentral lists this ribosomal RNA (440 nucleotides) under uncultured bacterium. RNAcentral describes it as "partial 16S ribosomal RNA". It matches the Rfam family "Bacterial small subunit ribosomal RNA", at positions 338 to 795 of the family's 1533-position model. The record is from RNAcentral.
ACUACGGGUGGCAGCAGUGGGGAAUAUUGCACAAUGGGGGAAACCCUGAUGCAGCGACGCCGCGUGAGUGAAGAAGUAAUUCGGUAUGUAAAGCUCUAUCAGCAGGGAAGAAAAUGACGGUACCUGAGUAAGAAUCCGCGGCUAACUACGAUCCAGCACCCGCGGCAAUACGGAGGGGGCAAUAGUUAUCAGGAUUUACUAGGGGUAAAGGGAGCGUCGACGGGAGUUGAGGUCUGGAGGGAAAGGCGGGGGCUCAAACCCCUGACUGCCCUUUAAACUGUCCGGCUGGAGUGCAGGAGAGGUAAGUGGAAUUCCGAGUGUAGCGGUGAAAUGCGUAGAUAUCAGGAGGAACACCAGUGGCGAAGGCGGCUUACUGGACUGUAACUGACGCUGAGGCUCGAAAGCGUGGGGAGCAAACAGGAUUAGAUACCCCAGUAGUC